CUGCAGCCCGAGUGGUGAUCGAUUUUAUUGAGCCUAAAGCGUCCGUAGCCGGACUAGUAAACCCUUGGGUAAAUUGGGCAGCUUAACUGUCCAAAUUCCGAGGGGACUGCUAGUCUUGGGACCGGGAGAGGUCAGAGGUACUCAAGGGGUAGGGGCUAAAUCCUGUAAUCCUUUGGGGACCACCAGUGGCGAAGGCGUCUGACUAGAACGGAUCCGACGGUAAGGGACGAAACCCUGGGGCGCGAACCGGAUUAGAUACCCCCGUAGUCC
RNAcentral lists this ribosomal RNA (270 nucleotides) under uncultured archaeon. RNAcentral's name for it is "partial 16S ribosomal RNA". It matches the Rfam family "Archaeal small subunit ribosomal RNA", at positions 477 to 747 of the family's 1478-position model. The record is from RNAcentral.